Molecule: long non-coding RNA, 344 nt
Filed under: Dromaius novaehollandiae (emu)
Lineage: Eukaryota; Metazoa; Chordata; Aves; Casuariiformes; Dromaiidae
Description: lncRNA (ENSDNVG00000006212.1)
Source: RNAcentral
AAUUUCUUCCGCAUACAUUAGUCACUAGAUUGUUAGUUUAAAUUUCCAAACAGGGGGCUUGCAUUCAUAUGCAAACUAAAUUAGGGGUUGAGGCAUGAGAACAUACCACUUCUUUUUACAUUCAACUUUCAGGCCUGAGAAAUCCUAAUGUGCACAAGAAUAUGUCGGAAGUGCUCCUAACGGCGCCAGCGGAGAGAAUGGUUAAUCGGAGACUGGAUCAGCGGGGCAGCAACUCUCUCUGAUUUAUAUAUCUGUAAGACUGGCUACUUCUGUGUUUAAUAUACAAGUUAUUUUGACAUUACUGAAAAGAACCUAGAAAUGUCUCUGCACUGGGGAAUAGAGAG